RNAcentral lists this ribosomal RNA (460 nucleotides) under uncultured bacterium. Its description in RNAcentral is "partial 16S ribosomal RNA". It matches the Rfam family "Bacterial small subunit ribosomal RNA", at positions 338 to 795 of the family's 1533-position model. The record is from RNAcentral.
CCUACGGGGGGCUGCAGUGAGGAAUAUUGGUCAAUGGACGGAAGUCUGAACCAGCCAUGCCGCGUGCAGGAAGACGGCUCUAUGAGUUGUAAACUGCUUUUGUACAAGGGUAAACCUGAAUACGUGUCUUCAGCUGAAAGUACUGUACGAAUAAGGAUCGGCUAACUCCGUGCCAGCAGCCGCGGUAAUACGGAGGAUCCAAGCGUUAUCCGGAUUUACUGGGCGUAAAGCGCUCGUAGGCGGGAUGUCAAGUCAAGGGUGAAAUCCCCGCGCUCAACGUGGGAACUGCCUUUGAAACUGGCAAACUGGAGUGGGUGAGAGGAUAGUGGAAUUCCAGGUGUAGGAGUGAAAGCCGUAGAUAUCGGGAGGAACAGCAGUGGCGAAGGCGACUAUCUGGCACAUAACUGACGCUGAGGAGCGAAAGCGUGGGUAGCAAACAGGAUUAGAUACCCUUGUAGUC